CGUAGAGUAAAAUUCCGAGUCUGAGAGCAGGCACACACGCGUGUGACGCGUGACGAGGACACACAGGGACAGAUCAAUUCUACUUCAGCUGAUCAACUUCACCAGUGGCUCAAAUCGGAGAAGAUGAUUGCUUGCGUGGCGGUGAUCGGUCAUCAGAACAAUCCACUGUACAUUCAGAGCUUCACGGAGGCAGACGAUGCUCUCAAGCUCCACCACAUUGUCCACUGCUCCCUCGACGUGGUUGAAGAGCGAGUGAAUAAUCCAAAAAAAUCUGGGCCGACACUGAAUGAGACAUUUCUUGGAUUACUUUAUCCAACCGAGAAUUAUAAAGUGUAUGGCUAUUUGACUAACACAAAGGUCAAAUUCAUCUUGGUCACUACAGAUUUAGAUGUCAGAGAUGCAGACGUGAGAAAUUUCUUCCGGAGGUUCCACGCUGCAUAUGUGGAUGCAGUUUCAAAUCCAUUCCAUGUGCCAGG
Molecule: unclassified non-coding RNA, 476 nt
Filed under: Hevea brasiliensis (rubber tree)
Lineage: Eukaryota; Viridiplantae; Streptophyta; Magnoliopsida; Malpighiales; Euphorbiaceae
Source: RNAcentral